AUUUGACCUCAAAUCAGGUAGGAACACCCGCUGAACUUAAGCAUAUCAAUAAGCGGAGGAAAAGAAAAUAACAAUGAUUCCCCUAGUAACUGCGAGUGAAGAGGGACAAGCUCAAAUUUUAAAUCUAUCGGGUUUUACCUGAUCGAGUUGUAAUUUGAAGAAGCGUUUUCUGCGUUUUUGGUCAGCUCAAGUCCUAUUGAAUGAGGCAUCAUGGAGGGUGAUAAUCCCGUCCGGUUGAUCAUUUGCGUUUUACGAUGCGCUCUCUAAGAGUCAAGUUGUUUGGGAUUGCAGCUUAAAAUGGGAGGUAAAUUUCUCCUAAGGCUAAAUAACGGCGAGAGACCGAUAGCGAACAAGUACCGUGAGGGAAAGAUGAAAAGAACUUUGAAAAGAGAGUUAAACAGUACGUGAAAUUGUUGAAAGGGAAACGAUUGAAGCCAGUCGUACCUUCGGGUAAUCAGCCUUUCGGGUGCGAUUCUGUGGAGUGUGAGGAGCUUAACACCUUCAUGCUUUGCAUAUUUGUGCUCUUGGGUGUACUUGCCCGUGUGGUUGGUUAACAUCAAUUUUGAUUAUCAUAAAAUGACUGGAGGAAUGUAGCUUCGAUCUCGUAUUGAAGUGUUAUAGCCUUUGGUAGAUGUGAUGAUCGAGAUUGAGGAUUGCAACGGAUACCCUUCGGGGCUACCUGUCUGGUCUCUGAUCGUUGCUCUGGUGCCGAAAGCGUGCUUACGGUUAUCAAAGUCGAUGGUCAAUAGGUUAGAACGGGUUAAAUUCGUUAAGGAUGUUGACGUAAUGGCUUUAAACGACCCGUCUUGAAACACGGACCA
Molecule: ribosomal RNA, 821 nt
Filed under: Glomus sp. Att1485-12
Lineage: Eukaryota; Fungi; Glomeromycota; Glomeromycetes; Glomerales; Glomeraceae
Description: eukaryotic LSU rRNA
Rfam family: Eukaryotic large subunit ribosomal RNA
Source: RNAcentral